RNAcentral lists this ribosomal RNA (484 nucleotides) under uncultured bacterium. Its description in RNAcentral is "partial 16S ribosomal RNA". It matches the Rfam family "Bacterial small subunit ribosomal RNA", at positions 28 to 507 of the family's 1533-position model. The record is from RNAcentral.
GUUGAACGCUGGCGGCAGGCCUAACACAUGCAAGUCGAGCGGAUGAAGGGAGCUUGCUCCUGGAUUCAGCGGCGGACGGGUGAGUAAUGCCUAGGAAUCUGCCUGGUAGUGGGGGAUAACGUCCGGAAACGGGCGCUAAUACCGCAUACGUCCUGAGGGAGAAAGUGGGGGAUCUUCGGACCUCACGCUAUCAGAUGAGCCUAGGUCGGAUUAGCUAGUUGGUGGGGUAAAGGCCUACCAAGGCGACGAUCCGUAACUGGUCUGAGAGGAUGAUCAGUCACACUGGAACUGAGACACGGUCCAGACUCCUACGGGAGGCAGCAGUGGGGAAUAUUGGACAAUGGGCGAAAGCCUGAUCCAGCCAUGCCGCGUGUGUGAAGAAGGUCUUCGGAUUGUAAAGCACUUUAAGUUGGGAGGAAGGGCAGUAAGUUAAUACCUUGCUGUUUUGACGUUACCAACGGAAUAAGCACCGGCUAACUUCGUG